Molecule: ribosomal RNA, 887 nt
Filed under: uncultured bacterium
Lineage: Bacteria
Description: bacterial SSU rRNA
Rfam family: Bacterial small subunit ribosomal RNA
Source: RNAcentral
GUGCCAGCCGCCGCGGUAAUACGGAAGGUCAGGGCGUUAUCCGGAUUUAUUGGGUUUAAAGGGAGCGCAGGCGGGCAGUUAAGCCGGCUGUGAAAGUGCGGGGCCCAACCCCGUAUUGCGGUCGGAACUGACGGUCUUGAGUGCGCGCAGGGACGCUGGAAUUCACGGUGUAGCGGUGAAAUGCUUAGAUAUCGUGAAGAACUCCGAUGGCGAAGGCAGGUGUCCGGAGCGCAACUGACGCUGAGGCUCGAAAGUGCGGGUAUCGAACAGGAUUAGAUACCCUGGUAGUCCGCACCGUAAACGAUGUACACCCGCAGUCGGCCUUUUUUUGGUCGGUUGCCAAGCGAAAGCGUUAAGUGUACCACCUGGGGAGUACGCCGGCAACGGUGAAACUCAAAGGAAUUGACGGGGGCCCGCACAAGCGGAGGAACAUGUGGUUUAAUUCGAUGAUACGCGAGGAACCUUACCCGGGCUUGAACUGCCACUGACGUGACCAGAGACGGUCAUUUCUUCGGACAGUGGCGGAGGUGCUGCAUGGUUGUCGUCAGCUCGUGCCGUGAGGUGUCGGCUUAAGUGCCAUAACGAGCGCAACCCUUGUCCGUGUUUGCCAUCAGGUAGAGCUGGGCACUCCACGGAUACUGCCAUCGCAAGAUGUGAGGAAGGUGGGGAUGACGUCAAGUCAGCACGGCCCUUACGUCCGGGGCUACACACGUGUUACAAUGGGAGCUACAGAGGGAAGCCACCCUGUGAGGGGGCGCGGAUCCCGAAAGGCUCUCUCAGUUCGGAUCGGAGUCUGCAACCCGACUCCGUGAAGCUGGAUUCGCUAGUAAUCGCGCAUCAGCCAUGGCGCGGUGAAUACGUUCCCGGGCCUUGUACACACCGCCCGU